RNAcentral lists this unclassified non-coding RNA (250 nucleotides) under plant metagenome. RNAcentral's name for it is "partial contains small subunit ribosomal RNA, internal transcribed spacer 1, and 5.8S ribosomal RNA". The record is from RNAcentral.
GUAGGUGAACCUGCGGAAGGAUCAUUAAAACGUAUCCACGUAUCAACCAAUCGUGAACUGUAACCUCUUUGGAACUUAACGGAAUGGCCUCUUCGAUUCCGCUUUCGUGAUGAAAAGGCAAACACUCUUCGGAAUGUUUGUCCUUUUGGAAUUGAUUGGGUCGCGCUUUCGGGCGACGUGUUCUAAAGUGGUUCUUUUACCUCAUCACGGGCAAACCUCAUUCAAACCAUUAUUAACACUUUGCACCUUU